GAUGAACGCUGGCGGCGUGCCUAAUACAUGCAAGUCGAGCGAACGGACGAGAAGCUUGCUUCUCUGAUGUUAGCGGCGGACGGGUGAGUAACACGUGGAUAACCUACCUAUAAGACUGGGAUAACUUCGGGAAACCGUAGCUAAUACCGGAUAAUAUUUUGAACCGCAUGGUUCAAAAGUGAAAGACGGUCUUGCUGUCACUUAUAGAUGGAUCCGCGCUGCAUUAGCUAGUUGGUAAGGUAACGGCUUACCAAGGCAACGAUGCAUAGCUGACCUGAGAGGUGGAUCGGCCACACGGGAACUGAGACACGGUCCAGCUUCCUACGGGAGGCAGCAGUAGGGAAUCUUCCGCAAUGGGCGAAAGCCUGACGGAGCAACGCCGCGUGAGUGAUGAAGGUCUUCGGAUCGUAAAACUCUGUUAUGAGGGAAGAACAUAUGUGUAAGUAACUGUGCACAUCUUGACGGUACCUAAUCAGAAAGCCACGGCUAACUACGU
RNAcentral lists this ribosomal RNA (496 nucleotides) under uncultured bacterium. RNAcentral's name for it is "partial 16S ribosomal RNA". It matches the Rfam family "Bacterial small subunit ribosomal RNA", at positions 28 to 506 of the family's 1533-position model. The record is from RNAcentral.